This is a long non-coding RNA of Mugil cephalus (flathead mullet), 1839 nucleotides long. RefSeq lists it as uncharacterized. The transcript is spliced from 6 exons. The record is from RefSeq and is a predicted model, not a curated record. Lineage: Eukaryota; Metazoa; Chordata; Actinopteri; Mugiliformes; Mugilidae.
UCCCGUUCCUUCUCUCGGUGACGGUACUCGAUGCGAUGGCAAGUCAAUAUGAUGUCUGGCUAUUUAUUGAAUUGAAUAAGUCGAAAAAAAUGGAUAGUAGAAAUAAUAAAAGCUAGUCUUGUGGUUAAAUGUAAUUCAGCACAAUGCUGUUGUGCCGUGGCAAAAAUGGGAAACUAGGGCGUUUUCAUCCCCUGCUCUACACGUGGCAUGGCGACGAGAGCGCUAAUGGAGGCACAAGAACCGGACUUUUCUCAAUAGACCGUUAAGUCUCCUCCGAGCGUAGUGAGCUCAAGGAUCACACAUGGAGGGAUGCAGAACGAGUGAGUGGAGUUACCUGCAGCCAUAACCUGAUGAUGUUUUAAAAUGUGGGUGACUAAGAGGAGAUGGCUUGGAUGGACUGGAGGCCUUUGCUGUGUCUCUUCCAGAUCUGUGCAGAGCUUCCAAGCGGCUACUCGCAGCUUCGAAGAUGGUUCAUCCAAGUAACUGAUGUGUUCUCAUACUUUUUGAGUUGACCUCUUAAAACAGACCUUUCAAGAUGUGAAUAUUGAGCUUUUGAAAUACUCCCUGUUCUGGACAAUGUGUACAAUCAAAUGUUCUGAAGCACUGUGUAAAUGGGAGUGUAUUAAAACAAAUGUUAAUAAAAGAUUGUCUACUAAACCUUUGUGUUUUUCUAAUGGUGCUUUAAAUAUAAAUGCAAAGCUAAAUGCUAUAUUGGGACAGGUUGACUCUCAGUGGUAUUAAUGAUUGCACACCUGACAACUGUAGUUUCUAGUUAUCUGUACACGACAUGCUCUUAGGUGAAUAGAUUCACUCUGAACUAGAUAUGACUAAUCUUGUAACUGCUCCCCUGCACAUUCUACCGUUAUGACGGAUGGAGCCAGUACAGUUGCAUAAGCCGACCGGUUUGAUUACACGCAUUCAUAGCGGUGUUAACAAAAGCCAGCCCAUAUCUGGACAGCGUGAGACCACACCCACGUCAUACAUUUAUUCCGUAUUGUACAACUUGGUACAAGUUGCCGAAAUGGCUUAUGUUCCAACCGCAUAUCCAAGCUGUGACUAAAAGUUUUGAGGAGUCUCGCUGGUAAACGUGUUUUAUUGUGAAGGUUGAAAGCCGGUAGUCCUUUGUUCUCGUAAUUGGUGAGCUAUUCGGUUCGGAGACUAUUUUUGGCAGACUAGGAGCACCGUCAAUGGUACAUGUCGACUGUUAGCUUUAGCUGGAAGAAGUCUUCUUACUGUAAAGGCUGAGGAGGACGUAAACAUGCAGCAUGUAGAAGUUAAGUAACUUUGUGUGACGAGUUAUUUGAGCCUAACAGCUAGCUAUGCUCUGGGAGACAAACGAGCUAACGUUGCCGAAGGUAUGAGGAGUGGAUUUUCGUCGAACAGUGACCCUAAGAUCGCCUAUACUGAGCGGAAGCCUUGUCAACUCAACCCGUUUCCCGUACGGCCGAUGCUAAUGCUCUUGAGUUUAUGAGAGUGAAAAGUUGAGCCUUUAGAGGCAGCACAGACAGCCACGAAAGCUGCCAGGUUCGACCAAAAGUAUGUAGACGAGAAGUCUGACCUGUAGCAAAUGUUAUAAUUUCAUCAAGGACACUGUUAGUAAUUUAAGUGGUUGUGUGUGUUGAACUGCUCUAACACACCCGAAGGUGUGUCUGUGGCAUGGGGGGAUGUCAUUCUUUUCGGGCCUGAGUCCUUGUGAACAAGUAUUUCGGCUCCUCAACUGAACUAACAGUAAAUGCAUGCAUUUCUCUUAAGUUCAAAACGCUGCUCAGAAACUUAAGCAAAGAGGAGCUGAGCCCUGAGUGUCUGCAAAUUUUGAUUGACCUCCAACAAGCCUCUGUC